Molecule: small nucleolar RNA, 90 nt
Filed under: Sciurus vulgaris (Eurasian red squirrel)
Lineage: Eukaryota; Metazoa; Chordata; Mammalia; Rodentia; Sciuridae
Description: Small nucleolar RNA SNORA26 (ENSSVLG00005013890.1)
Rfam family: Small nucleolar RNA SNORA26
About the family: The snoRNA HBI-6 belong to the H/ACA family of snoRNAs, guiding the pseudouridylation of position U4522 if the 28S rRNA. HBI-6 is the human orthologue of mouse MBI-6 snoRNA.
Source: Rfam by way of RNAcentral
GUCCAUCAACAACUAAAAGUAAAUAUUAAAAAAAAAUCCCAGAGAAGAGAUCGCAAAACUCCUCUUUGGAUCCUGUCUGGAGUUACAGCU